Molecule: long non-coding RNA, 3626 nt
Filed under: Brassica napus (rape)
Lineage: Eukaryota; Viridiplantae; Streptophyta; Magnoliopsida; Brassicales; Brassicaceae
Description: long non-coding RNA (BNAP_LNC018826)
Source: RNAcentral
AGGUCCAAGCUUGAUGGUGAGCGCAUGUUAGCUCCAUGAUAAGCCUUGUGGAGAGCACCUCCAUCUCUUUCAGACUUGAUGCUUGAAUCCUCCACUACAUCACCAUUGCACUGAGGAGAUACCUCAGCCCACUCUCCAAGCAUCUCACACUAGCUUGUUGAGUGACUUUCUUCUUCCCUCCACUUCGGCUGGAUCACUCCAUGAUCAGCUUGCAAUGGCCUUGAGUAACACAGGUCAUUGAGCAACAGGAUCAUCAGGUGGCUCACUUUGCUCCCCUCCUCAAGCUUGGAUUGAGUAUGGGUCCAAGCUUGAAGUGAGCCUCAAUGAGCCUUAAGAUCAGGAGCGCAACAUCUCAUAGAGUGCGCUUCAACCACUGAUCAACCCUUCCCUUUAUCUCCAAUGCCUUCUGGUCACCGGUCUCCUCUAGACUUAGGUGAUGACCACUCGCCUUGUGUAUCCACAUACACCCCAGCGACCAUUCCCAAUGGGUAAAGUCUUCCUCUUCUACUCGGAUUGAUGAUGGACAGAGAGCACAUCAUGUGAACCUGAAACAUCACUCAAACUCCAGCAAAGAUAAGACACAAGCAUUGGGAUCAAUCCUUGACUAAUAUCAAGUUUGAUCUCCAAUGUCACAAGCUAUGCAACAGAUUGAAACAAGCAUUAUCAAGUUCACAUCUUUGCAAGCAAUCUCUCUAAGUACAAGCAAGAUCAAAUAAGAUUCAAGACAAGCUACUUAGGCAUUUUAACUUCUGCCUUAACUACACCUUAGACUUGAAUCUAAGUGUAUCAACCUAAGGCAGCAACAAGAUGACAGUAUGCUAUAUAACCUUAAACAGUUUCUAAUUCAUGAGUGCAACAUGAUCAGACAAUACAAUCUAUCACACACUCAUUUAGAACUGUGGCUAAGCAGUAUUAUCAUCAAUCAACAUCAGACAAUGCAAAACCUUAAGUUAUUUCAGUUUAAUGAAAGCUAAUAGGAUUUAGACAGUUUCUAACAUCCUAGCUCAAUCAUAACCAAAUUGGGCAAGCAUUUCAUUUCUCAACAUCAAACAAGACUCAAUAGCAUCCUGGGACUAAACAAGACAAUAUUAUCAAGCAUUUUCAGUCAUUAACCCACGGAUGCAACAUAAAGAACACAACACAACAGCCAGUUUCAAUCACAAGCUCAUAUCAAGAAGGUUUAGGAUUAGCUUACAACCAAGGAACCUGAGCUGGUUCCUUGAGCCUCCUUGGUAACAGGCCACGAAUCUAGUGGAUAAGAGAGCUGGAUCGUCACCCAACACCUUCUCCUUAUGUUCAUAACCUCCUCCUUGACACCACAACACAAAAGGUUCCACCUUUCUUCACAGCUCCAAGUCUCCAACUUCAGGAACAAGAUGAAAGCUUUCUUCUUGAAGGGUUUCAGCUUGGCACAGAGUUGAGACACGCCUUUAAUGGACUGGAGAGAGGAGGAACGACCAGGAGACACCACCAUAGCUUCAAACACCUUCUUUUUGAAGAGAGAGAACAGGCUGGACAUCUUCAAUGGUUUGGAUCUGUGAUGAGGCUAGACUUGUGAUGUAUAUGCGGAAGCUGGAACCAAGUUCUGAUAGAGAAAGACUCAAAACUUGCUUGAUUAAUUAAUGAGAGAGUGUUUACAUAUUUAUAGGGAGAGAGCUUAGUGUUAGGUUUUCAGAGCUCAGGCUGUGUGUGUGAGAAGAAGCCACUAAGGGCGAAAUGAGAGCUUGAACUGAAGAGAGAAAGGUCUGAUGAAGAACAGUAUGAACUUGGACAGAAACAAGAGAUUUAGAAAGAUUAAGAGAUUUAAGUAUAAGAAAGGGGUAGUUUGAGGGAUUCUUAUCCAAGAACACACUUUGUAUUAUGAAGGAGGAGGGGAAAUCCCCCUCUCUCUCUUAAGAGACACAAAAACGUCCAUACAUAGCUUAUUUAUAAGCUUUACACAUUGCAAACUCAUAAACCCUUAAUCUAAUGGAUAGAAAUGACUGAAUUGAAAUGGAUGGCUAGGAUGGAGUCUGGUGGGUUGCUGAGGACGUGAUGGAUGCUGAUUGGUUGAUUCAAACUGGUCAAAGCAAGGGCUGGCUCCUGAUUGGUUCCCUUAAGGCUCCCAUGAACCUUGUUCACAAAGAUGGCUAGAUACAUGGUCAAGGCUGCUUUUCCUUUACAGCUCAAAGACAGCCUGUCAUUGACCACGCCCUAGCUCUCCCUUAUCCACAAACAGUCACAAGAUAACUCAGGUUUGUCUUCUCUUGCGCCCUAAGUUUGCACAGCUUCAUUUCAGGUUGAUCCGGAACAAGUACGGUCGAUGGUACGGACCGUCUGUCCGUACCUCUCCCUAUUUUUGCACCAACUCCCAAUCUUCUCAAAUGGUUGAGUCUGAACAUGAUCUUGGUCGCCCUAAGUUCGUACGGUCCGUACCGUCCGUACCGAUGCUCGACCCUAUUUCUGCACCAUCACCCAACUGACUCCAAAUGGUGUCUAAGUAUGUCUAAGUCCCUCCUGGACUUGACCCUAACUUUGCACACCUCAUUUGGAUACUUCUGGACACUCCUGAACACUCCUAAAGCCUUGAUAGACAAUCUCCAGAGGUCUUGCCCCAUUCUCGCUCAAGACCCAAACUCAACCCAACUCCUCCUUUGGCUCCAUUUCUUUCUUCAAGUCAACACUCCCCCUCAAGCUUGACUCUAGGUGAUCCUAAGCCAAGCUUGGAACCUUGAAGAACUCCCUCAUUAAAAACCUCACCAAGGAAAACCCUUUGGGACAAAACCUUGAGGAGGGAAAAAGAGUAAAGCCUUCAAGGCCUAGGGAUUGGCCAGUGAGCCUAUGUGCCUUAGUAUCAAUUGGGACAAAACCUUGAGGAGGGAAAAAGAGUAGAGCCUUCAAGGCCUAGGGAUUGGCCAGUGAGCCUAUGUGCCUUAGUAUCACUGAGGUUUAGGCACAUAGGCUCUGGAUCACGGCCUCUUCACUUCACCACACCUUCUUAAACUCUUCUAUAGAACCGGCUUAGUGUCUCCCCCCUUUCACCUGACUUCAUGCCAUCUUGAAAGGCUAGGAACGACCUGAUCCUCUCCAUUGAGUCUCCAAGUAAGGUACCUGAUACAUCAUUCCACAAGUGUAUCAGUUCUCAAGAGAUAAACCUAUCAUGAAUGUAUAUAAAGAGAUUGAUCAGGUUUACUCCCUUGUUUAAAUGUUGAGGAGUGGCUGCUCUUCACACACCACUUGAAUCCCUCACUUGCUGAGCUUAACAGCUCCUUCUCUUAUCAUGCAAGCUCAUCCACACUCCCCCUCAAGCUUGAGACCGAGUAGAGGAAAGGUCCAAGCUUGAUGGUGAGCGCAUGUUAGCUCCAUGAUAAGCCUUGUGGAGAGCACCUCCAUCUCUUUCAGACUUGAUGCUUGAAUCCUCCACUACAUCACCAUUGCACUGAGGAGAUACCUCAGCCCACUCUCCAAGCAUCUCACACUAGCUUGUUGAGUGACUUUCUUCUUCCCUCCACUUCGGCUGGAUCACUCCAUGAUCAGCUUGCAAUGGCCUUGAGUAACACAGGUCAUUGAGCAACAGGAUCAUCAGGUGGCUCACUUUGCUCCCCUCCUCAAGCUUGGAUUGAGUAUGGGUCCAAGCUUGAAGUGAG